This is an RNA transcript of Quercus robur (English oak), 5092 nucleotides long. It is a transcript of the gene named putative disease resistance protein At3g14460, with no coding region annotated. NCBI's taxonomy places the organism in Eukaryota, Viridiplantae, Streptophyta, Magnoliopsida, Fagales, Fagaceae. The transcript has 3 exons. The record is from RefSeq and is a predicted model, not a curated record.
AAAAAAAAAAAAAAACCCUUGUUAGGUCAGUGAACCCUCAUCAACACAGCAACCUGUGUUGUGAGUUACUUCAGAUCAAAGGGAACUUCCUUCCAGGUUUAAGCUGUCUGCUUGAAUCAUAUUCAAGAAUCGGACUUACUUCUUCUUCCCUCUAAUAUAAUAUCUUCCUUUCAUCAUCUCAGAAUUUUGUUUUUUUUGCACGGAAGAGAGUGCAACAUGGCUGGACCGUGGGUGGAAGGGGCAAUUCAAGCGCUGUUGGAGAGAUUGGCAUCUGCAGAACUCAUCGACUUGUUCCAAAGGCUAACGGUCAAAGAUGAAUUGGUGGAGAAGUUGAAGACAGCAUUGCUGUCUCUUGAUGCUGUGCUCAAUGAUGCUCAGGAAAAGCAAAGGAACAACCCAACUGUGGAAAAAUGGCUUUACGAUGUUACAAAUACUUUGUAUGUUGUUGAUGAUGCAUUGGAUCAGAUUUCCACUGAAGCUUUGCUAAAGAAGUUGACGAAAAAUCGGGUUGGGAACCUCAGAUGGGAGAUAGAGUCUAGCAUGGAGCAGGUCAAUGAGAUGAUCGAUUCUUAUGCCAAGCAAAGUAAUGAACUGGGCUUGAUCGGUGGAAGUGGAACACAGUACGACAAGAAACAGUUUCGAACAGCCUCAUCUGUUGACGAAGCUGAAGUGGUGUUUGGUAGAGAAUCUGACAAAGAAGCAAUUAUUGAUCUCUUCAUGGGUGCUAGUGGUGAACCAUUGUCUUUGAUUGUGAUAGUGGCAAAGGAUGGCAUAGGCAAAACCACUCUCGCUCGGCUCGUUUACGAAGAAGACAGAGUGAGUAAACAUUUUGACCUUAAGGCUUGGGCUUGGGUUCCGGCAGAAGGUACCGUGGGCAAGGCGUGCAGCUCAAUUUUUGAGUCUUUUACUUUGGAGUGUUCUGAUCUGGAGAAGCAGAGAUUUCUAAUUGUUUUGGAUGAUGUAUCCAGUAAGAGUUUGGAUCUCUACUUGGAAUUUCCAUUCCGAGCUGCUGCAAAGGGAAGUUGUAUUAUUGUAACUACAUCCGAUCAAGCUGUUGAGUCAAUCAUGCGCACUUACACUUAUUUUUAUCGCCCUCCUGGUACUGACACUUCCAUUGGGAAGGAGUUAUUACCACCUGGACAAUCUCCCCGUUUUAACACCUAUGAUAUGAACCGAUUAUCAGAUGAAGAAUGUUGGUCAAUAUUCACAAAAUAUGCUUUUGGAGACGAAAAUUCUAGUUCAUAUCCAGAACUAGAGGAUAUUGGCAGACAAAUUGUGAAAGUGUGUGGCGGCCUGCCUUUAGCAGUAAGAACGAUUGGGACUUUCUUGCGCUCUAAGCUACAAGUUGAGGAGUGGGUUGCUGUACUUGAUCGCCAAAAGCAUUUUCAUUUUACAAAUGAAAUGAGUGGCAUUGGCCUUGCGUUAGGACUAAGCUAUGAUAAUCUUCCUGUGCAUCUAAAGCGAUGCUUUGCAUAUUGUUCAAUAUUUCCUCCGGGUUAUGAAUUUGAGAAAGAGAAGUUAGUCCUCUUGUGGAUGGCGGAAGGUCUUUUGCCACAGCCAGAAAAAAAUAAAAGAAUCGAAGAGGUUGGUGAUGACUGCUUUAAAGAAUUAUUAUGUAGGUCUUUUUUUCAACAAUCAAGCGGCAAUAAGUCACAUUUUGUGAUGCACAGUCUUACGGAUGACUUGGCUAGAGCUGUGUCUGGGAGAUGUUGCUUCAGAUUGGAGGAUGGUAAUUCCUUUGGUACUCCAACUAUUUCCGUCCGGUAUUUGUCAAUUUCCCGAAGUGAUUCCUUAGAGUUGGAGAUAUUUGAGUACAUUCGUAAACUCAAGCGUUUAAGGACCUUUUUAACACUAGAUCAUAUAUCGUGGGAUUUACAUGGCUAUGAACUAGGGAGUAAUAUCUUUUCCAGAAUGUCGUUCUUGCGAGUGCUUUCUGUAUCUCAUUAUGAAUUGACCAAGCUACCAGCUUCAAUCAGUGAUUUGAAACACUUGCGGUACAUAGAUCUCUCUGACACAGAAAUUAAAAGUUUACCUGAAUCAGUAUGUUUUCUCCCCAAUUUACAAACAUUGAUAUUAUCAAAUUGUGAUUCCCUUGCUGAAUUGCCACAAAACAUGGGGAGGCUUAUUAACCUGCGUCAUCUUCAUAUUAGUGGAACAAACUUAAAAGAGAUGCCAAAAAAUAUGAGCAGAUUAGAAAGUCUACAAACACUGUCUAACUUUGUUGUGGGCAAAGAAAGCGGCUCAACAGUUACAGAGUUGCGGGAAUUUUUGAAUCUUCAUGGAGCACUUUGUAUUUCAAAGUUGCAAAAUGUAGCCUCUGCUAAAGAUGCGGCUGAGGCCAACUUGGUAGAGAAGCCACACCUUGAUGAACUAGUGUUGGAAUGGGGUGACCAUACUGUUGAUCUAGAAAAUGAUGGAGAUGUGCUUGACGAUACCGGUACUGACGAUACUGUUGGUCUAGAAAAUGAUGGAGAUGUGCUUGAACAGCUAGUUCCUCACACAAAUUUAAAGAAACUCAGCAUUAGUUUUUACUCCGGUACAAGAUUUCCACAUUGGUUGGGGGAUUCUUCAUUCUCUAACCUAUUUUUCCUAUGUCUUAGUAGUUGCAAGAAUUGCAUAGACUUGCCACUACUUGGGCAGCUACCAUCUCUUAAAGUCCUCAUUAUUAAAUCAAUGAAUGCAGUAAAGAAGGUCGGUCCUGAAUUCUAUGGGAUGGAUAAGCCAUUUCAGUCUUUGGAAACUCUAACAUUUGAUAGGAUGCUGGAAUGGGAGGAAUGGAUUGCAUUGGAAGUUGAAGGUGGAGAAUUCCCUUGCCUGCGAGAGCUUUGUAUACGGAGAUGCCCCAAGCUGAAGGGGAACUUACCCAAGCAACUUCCUUCUGUAGUAAAAGUUGAGAUUUCUGAAUCUCAGGAGCUUCUGACUGCACUUAUGACUGAGGCAUCAUUACACAAAAGGCUUUUAGAUUAUCAUGAUAAGAUUUUGUUCAUGACAGGCUAUAAAGCUACCUCAUUCUCGAAGCAAAUGACUGUCACUACAUAUGAAGGUGCUGCAGAAUCUUCAAUUCCUAUGACUGAAGGUGCUAUAGAAUCGUCAUUGUUUAUAAUUGCCACAGAUUCCUCAUUGCCCAUGACUCAAGGUGCCACAGCUGAAGAAUGCUCAUUGCCUAUAACUCAAGAUACUGCAGCCACAGAAUCCUCAGUGCCAAUGACUCAAGGUGCCACUGCUGCAGAAUCCUCGUUGCCCAUGACUCAAGGUACUGUGACAGUAGAGCACUCAUCGGCCAUGACUCAAGCUGCCACAGAAUCCUCACUACCUAUGACUCAAGGAGCCGCAGAAUCCUCAUUGCCCACGACUCAGACUCCAAACAUUAGAAAUGAAGCUGAUGUUCCAAUUAACACCCAGUCCAACCAAGAUAGCCUGCAAGACCUCUUCUCCUUUAAAAGCUUGAAAGUUUCAGAAAUAUCACAACUGAGAAAAUUGCCAAUGGGGCUACAUAGCCUCAAAAUUGAAGGAUGUGACGCUCUAGAGUUCAUACCUGAACAAGUGAUGGUGAGCAAUCCUCCUAUCCAACAUUUGUAUAUCAUUAGUUGUUGUUCUCUCAAGUCCUUUUCUGGAGGUAGCCCACCCACUGCAUUGAAAUUUCUUUAUAUCCAGAACUGCAAGAAAUUAAAGUUUCUCCCACUAGCAGAGAAGACACAUCAUUAUGCACUUCUUGAACAUUUGUGCAUUGGGAGUAGCUGUGAUUCCCUGGUAUUCCUCCCAUUAGACUUGUUUCCAAAGCUUAAAAUACUUUCUAUCUGGGAUUGUGCAAAUCUGGAAUCCUUUUCAAUGCCAGGGAGAAUUCAGAAAGAUCUCACAUCUCUUGAGGUCUUGGAGAUCAGGGAUUGUCCUAACCUUCUAUCUUUUCCAAGAGGAGGAUUGCUUACCCCCAACCUGAAGUCCAUUUGGUUCUCCAAUUGCAAGAAUCUCAAGGAACUGCCUGAUCAAUUGCACACUCUCAGUUCUCUCCGGUCAAUGUUUAUAAAUAACUGCCCAGAACUUUUAUCACUUCCUGAAGGGGGUUUGCCUUCCAACCUAAGUUUACUUUGUAUCACUUUUUGUGACAAAAUGAUGCUCGGGAUGGAGUGGGGCUUGCAUAGGCUUGACUAUCUUAGUCGGUUGGAGAUAGAAGGUGCAUGUAAAAACGUGGUGUCAUUUCCAGAGGCAAAGCUACUGCCCAGAAAUCUCAAUUCUCUACGCAUCAGUGGACUUUUGAAUCUCAAGUAUCUCAACUACAGGGGGCUUCAACACCUUACUGCUCUUAAAAUACUGGAGAUCAGCUGCUGUAACAAACUCCAAUCCUUGCCAGAAGAAGGUCUUCCGGCCUCCCUGUCUUUUCUCUGCAUCAAGGAGUGUUCUUUGCUGAAACUGAAACUCCAAGAUAAGACAGGAAAAGAUUGGUCCAAGAUAGCUCAUAUUUCUUGCAUAGAAAUUGAUGAGGAAGUGUGUCAUGAGGAAGUAUAGAAGAGCCUUGUUUGAAGCAAUGUAAUUUCAGUGUGAUUGGAGUCUCAAGUAUUCCAUGAUUUUUUCCCCCAAAAAAGAUUGAAAUCCCCCAAGUUUCAGGUACUUGUUUUUUUUAUUCCUCUGGUUGAUCGGCGUGGAAGUUCAAAAAGGUCAAAGGAAUAGGCUUUUCAGCUUUUGGCAAUGUUGAUUUUUCUUCAAUUGGGAUUUGCCAAAUUGAUGCUAAUGGAUGAAUUUGGCAAAAAAGAUAAAACUUAUGUACUGUACUUUAAGUGCUAUUCUUUAAAUUUUCAUUUUAAGAUUCUAUCAUAUGACUACUUAACUAAAAAAUAUACUUUCAUUCUAUGAGGAAAUAACCACAUGGCAGAAUCUUUAAAGAAACAACACUUAAAUACUAUACCUAAGUAAGUACUACCCGUGGCAAAAUUAUCGUUAUUUUGGGUUGCAAUUAGGCACUAUCACCACUACUAGGCACAACACCAACAACAUAGGUCAUUAGACUAGCUCAUGUUGCUUUCUUUUUAGUACAAUCUGUUUUUGACUUAUCAAUCUUAGUUGAUUUGCUUUGAUUGCAUUGGCAUUAUUGUGAUAC